Molecule: transfer RNA, 66 nt
Filed under: Deielia phaon
Lineage: Eukaryota; Metazoa; Arthropoda; Insecta; Odonata; Libellulidae
Description: tRNA-Ala
Rfam family: tRNA
About the family: Transfer RNA (tRNA) molecules are approximately 80 nucleotides in length. Their secondary structure includes four short double-helical elements and three loops (D, anti-codon, and T loops).
Source: RNAcentral
AGGGUAAUAGUUAAAUAUAACAUUUGAUUUGCAUUCAAAAGGUGUUGAUUCAAUCAACUUAUCUUA